This 253-nucleotide ribosomal RNA is filed under the name uncultured bacterium. RNAcentral's name for it is "partial 16S ribosomal RNA". It matches the Rfam family "Bacterial small subunit ribosomal RNA", at positions 524 to 776 of the family's 1533-position model. The record is from RNAcentral.
UACGUAGGGGGCUAGCGUUGUCCGGAAUCAUUGGGCGUAAAGAGCGCGUAGGCGGCCCGGUAAGUCUGCUGUAAAAGUCAAAGGCUUAACCUUUGAAAGUCAGUGGAUACUGCCGGGCUAGAGUCCGGAAGAGGCGAGUGGAACUCCUGGUGUAGCGGUGGAAUGCGCAGAUAUCAGGAGGAACACCAAUAGCGAAGGCAGCCCCCUGGGCCAAUACUGACGCUCAUGCACGAAAGCGUGGGGAGCAAACAGG